GACGAACGCUGGCGGCGUACUUAACACAUGCAAGUCGAACGGAAAGGCCCUGCUUUUGUGGGGUGCUCGAGUGGCGAACGGCUGAGUAACACGUGAGUAACCUGCCCUUGACUUUGGGAUAACUUCAGGAAACUGGGGCUAAUACCGGAUAGGAGCUCCUGCUGCAUGGUGGGGGUUGGAAAGUUUCGGCGGUUGGGGAUGGACUCGCGGCUUAUCAGCUUGUUGGUGGGGUAGUGGCUUACCAAGGCUUUGACGGGUAGCCGGCCUGAGAGGGUGACCGGCCACAUUGGGACUGAGAUACGGCCCAGACUCCUACGGGAGGCAGCAGUGGGGAAUAUUGCACAAUGGGCGGAAGCCUGAUGCAGCAACGCCGCGUGCGGGAUGACGGCCUUCGGGUUGUAAACCGCUUUCGCCUGUGACGAAGCGUGAGUGACGGUAAUGGGUAAAGAAGCACCGGCUAACUACGUG
Molecule: ribosomal RNA, 468 nt
Filed under: uncultured bacterium
Lineage: Bacteria
Description: partial 16S ribosomal RNA
Rfam family: Bacterial small subunit ribosomal RNA
Source: RNAcentral